GUCUAAGUACUAGCCAACUUUUAAAAUGGUGAAACCGCGAAAAGCUCAUUAAAUCGGCUUUGGUUCCUUAGAUAGUUUGCAGAUUGGAGUUUUUUUCGAUUCGUCGAGAAAAACAAAAUUCUGAAAUGGAUAACUGUGGUAAUUCUAGAGCUAAUACAUGAAAAAAAUUUGGUGCGAAACUGGCGUUUGUUUUCGGACAAACGUUAGGCUUUGCACGCUUUUAUUAGAGAAAAAAGCCAAUUUUAUUAUUGUUCGCGUGUGCACGUUUAACGAUAGCGUUGCGAGUUGGACUUGUAUUCUGUUGUCGUAACGGCCGCGUGAAACCAAUACUAAUUAAAAAUUUUGGUGUUGAAUCUGAAUAACUUGAAUGGAUUCUCUUUGAAAGAAUUUCAUUUCGUUUCGGAGUGAAAUUUGAUUAGAAGAGGGUUUAAAGCAGACCGCAUUAAAAGCUGCAAACAAAACGAUGAAAAUGUGUUCUUCGCGUCCGAUUCGGUGUUUGUAGUUUAUGUGG
RNAcentral lists this ribosomal RNA (511 nucleotides) under Caenocholax sp. 9 DPM-2010. RNAcentral describes it as "bacterial SSU rRNA". Lineage: Eukaryota; Metazoa; Arthropoda; Insecta; Strepsiptera; Myrmecolacidae. The record is from RNAcentral.